GCGGAUGUGGCGGAACUGGCAGACGCACAGGCUUCAGGUGCCUGCGGGCUUAGGCCCUUGGAGGUUCGACUCCUCUCAUCCGCA
Molecule: transfer RNA, 84 nt
Filed under: Planctomycetota bacterium
Lineage: Bacteria; Pseudomonadati; Planctomycetota
Also listed under: 1 other name
Description: tRNA-Leu
Rfam family: tRNA
About the family: Transfer RNA (tRNA) molecules are approximately 80 nucleotides in length. Their secondary structure includes four short double-helical elements and three loops (D, anti-codon, and T loops).
Source: RNAcentral